This 71-nucleotide transfer RNA is filed under the name Stegodyphus mimosarum. It matches the Rfam family "tRNA". Rfam says of the family: Transfer RNA (tRNA) molecules are approximately 80 nucleotides in length. Their secondary structure includes four short double-helical elements and three loops (D, anti-codon, and T loops). Further hydrogen bonds mediate the characteristic L-shaped molecular structure. tRNAs have two regions of fundamental functional importance: the anti-codon, which is responsible for specific mRNA codon recognition, and the 3' end, to which the tRNAs corresponding amino acid is attached (by aminoacyl-tRNA synthetases). tRNAs cope with the degeneracy of the genetic code in two manners: having more than one tRNA (with a specific anti-codon) for a particular amino acid; and 'wobble' base-pairing, i.e. permitting non-standard base-pairing at the 3rd anti-codon position. Lineage: Eukaryota; Metazoa; Arthropoda; Arachnida; Araneae; Eresidae. The record is from Rfam by way of RNAcentral.
GCCUUCGUUGUGUAACGGUAGCACAAUCGGCCCGUAUUCGAGAGGUCCAGGUUAGAGUCCCGACAAGGGCA